This is a long non-coding RNA of Xiphophorus maculatus (southern platyfish), 191 nucleotides long. RefSeq lists it as uncharacterized. NCBI's taxonomy places the organism in Eukaryota, Metazoa, Chordata, Actinopteri, Cyprinodontiformes, Poeciliidae. The transcript has 3 exons. The record is from RefSeq and is a predicted model, not a curated record.
UUUUGCCAGAAGUUGACCCGCAUGAAGCAACGCCUCUUCAGAUGCUUUUACUUUUUCCGGGUCUGGGAGAAGCAGAGAAGCGGGCUAAUGGCAGGAUCAAGGUACCUCUGUCCUGCCAUGAACUAUUUAGACUUGGCAACUGUGAACUGUUGGCAGCACCAUCAGAUACUCUGGUAAAUUGAUCGGAACGA